CAGCUAUGUAAAAAAUAUGACAUUAACUUUCUGUAAUUCAUCUAAUUUUAUUUUUGAAACCCUAAGUCAUUGGCCUGGGACAAAAACCUGAUCUCAGUCAGUUGGGAAUUUCCUACUUUUAGUCUCAUUUGAGGUGUAUGAGGGGAGAUCUCUAUGUUAACCAGGGAAGGGCAGGGAAAAUGUACUCGUACUCCCCUUGUUCUAAAUGUUAUCUGUUCAUGCAGGAAUCUUCUGAGACAUCCAUCAUCCUAUCUGGUCCACAGUCAUUGAUCCACACCAUUUGCCACUGAGAUGUCAUCAUUUCUGUUUGCCUAUUUCUUCAGGUAUGGUGUUGUGCUCUCACUGUAAUGACAUGUCACAUAUAGGAGAAUUUACAUAAUGCCUAAUUCAAUGUAAAUGCCGUGUAAAUAGUUAUUAUAUUGUUUAGGGAACAGAGACAAGGAAAAAAGUCUGUACAUUUUCAGUUCAGAUGCAACCAGAUGGGUCAAAGGUUUACAUGUAAAGAAAUGAAAGCCACAAAAGAAUUGCAAGAAACUAUUGUGAGGUUUUGAAAAUCAUAAUAAUAGAUGGAGAGAAAAUCCUUUCUGUGUAUGUCACAAGGUUCAAAAACCAGGAAGUUAAUAUUGAUAUAUUAAAUCUAACAUAUAUGUAGCCUGGGUUCAGAAACUCACUUAUAGGUGUAUUCUCCACCAUUUCUACAUCAAUAUACCUGUAAAAGAAGUGCAUGGCAAUGUUGUUUAUAAUUGCUUUUUUUAAUAAAAGGAAUCCAUCAACAACAGAACAGAUAAAUAAACUAUAGUAUAGGUGUAUAGUUAAGAAUUUAACCUUGCCCAAAGAAGUCUGACCUUUGGGAGAUAAUCAAUAAAUCUGUAAAAUAUUGUACCCAAUAGGAGUAUAUUUGUUUGCAAGUAACUUUGGAACUUGUGAUCUAGAUAGUCUUAACACUGUGAUUUAGCAUGGAGGAUAAUCAAUAAGAAAACACCCUACAAUCUAAUAGAUAAAUAGGCAGAAGAUAUGAUCAUACAACUCACAAAAAGAGGAAAAUAUGAAUGGCUCUUAAUUUUAUAAAAGUAUGCUCAAACUUAUUCAUAAUAAGAGAAGUAUAGAUUUAAAUUUAAUUGGAGAGAUUGUUUUUCACCAUCAGAUUAAAGAUUCAAGUUUGUUAUUAAACUUGGUAAAGGUUUAGGGAAGUAGGUACUCUAUCUACUGGUGAGGAAGAAAAUUGUUAAAGCUUCAGUAAAAGGCAAUUUGACAAUAUCUAUUAAAAUUAGAAAUAUAUUUACUCAUUACUCCCAAGUUCUACAUGUAGUAAUUUAUUCUGUAGGUAUUUUCACACACCUAUGAAAAGACAUGUCUACAGGUUAUUUGUAGCAAUAUGACUUGUAAUAUUAAAAUAUUUGAAACAACAUAAAUCUUCACUUCUGAGCCAGGUAUAGUGGUGCACACUUGUAAUCCCAGCAACUCCAGAGGCUGAAACAGGAGGAUUGCAAAUUGGAAGCCAGUCUCAGUAAUUUAGCAAGGUCCUAAGCAACUUAAUGAGACUCUGUCUCAGAUUGAAAAACAAAAAGGGCUGCAGAUGUAACUUAGUGUUCAAGCACCACUGGAUUCAAUCCCCAGUACCAAAAAAUAAAUAAAUAAAAAUAAGAAUUUUUUUAAAAUCUCCAUUUAUGAUAGACUGAUUAAAUCAAUUUGAUACAUUACAAUCACAAAAAAUAUGUAGGAAUUCUUUGCUUACUGAUUAGAAUGGCCUUCAACUAUAUCUGUACAGAAUGGUAUAUAAAAUAUGUUACCAUUUGUGGAAAUAGUGGUGGUGAAGAUAAGAACAUAUAUUCUUAUUAGCCUAUAAGUGCUUACAAAUAUCUUUGGAAAGAUAUGCAAAACAUUUGUAAGAUUUGUUAUUGUCUUUGAGAAAUGUUUUGACCUGAGUGUCUGUGCCCCCCUCCAAAUUUUUUUUUAUUUGUUCUAAUUAGUUAUACAUGGCGGUAGAAUGCAUUUGGACGUAUUGUACACAAAUGGAGCACAACUUCUCAUUCCUCUGGCUGUCCCCAAAAUUUAUAUGUUGAAGUCUUUAUCCCCAAUGUGAUGGUAUUAGGAGGUGGGCCUUUGGGAGGCGAUUGGAUUUAGAUGAGGUUACAAGGGUGGAACCCUUCUGGUGGGAUUAAUGCCUGUAGGAGGAAGAGACACCAGAGCUUUCUCUUUCUAUUCUGUGAAGAUACCAUAAAAGAGGUAGCCUGUAAGCAAAAGUGGUCCCUCACCAGACAUGAGAGCUACUAACACUUCAAUCUUGGACUUCCUAGCUUCUAGAACUGUGAGAAAUAAAUUCUGUUGUGGUAUUUUGUUAUAGCAGUUUUGGGUGACUAAUACAGGGAAAAUUUUGAUGAAUGGGUGACAGGUGAAAAGGAGACCUUUUACCUUUAAAUUUUUAAAUUAUGGUGUAUGUAAUCACUAUCCAAAAAUAAACAGGGGGCUGGGGUUGUGGCUCAGUGGUAGAGCACUUUUCUAUCAUGUGUGAGGCCCUGGGCUCAAUCCUUAGCACCACAUAUAAAUAAAUAAAAUAAAGGUCCAUUGACAACUAAAAAAAACUUUAAAAAUAAAUAGGGUCUAUUUUGUAAUUUAAUUACUCAUUGAUAUAUUUUCAUUUUUAGGAUAAAAGAUAACAUCAAGAAAGAGAAAGAGAAGGAAAAAAGGGGAAACGAUUACAUAUGUCAUCGUUUUAAGGUAUCAUAUAGUUUUAGAAGAUUAUGAUGUAAUACUUUUGAUCAUUGGUUUGCGUUUUCAAUCAGUUUGGUUUGUCAAGAUCAUAAUCACAGUGUCCAUGGUGUUAAAGAGAAAAUUAUGUGUAUUAUUUUUUUCUUGUUAGUUUUAUCUACAAUAUAUAGAUAUUUUAAAAUUUACAUUGUCAUCUCUUAAAUAUCUGUAAUAAGAUAAAUAGAGUAGAUUUAUGUACUCCAAAACAGCAAAAAGACCUAUUGCAUUAUUUUCAAUCCAUGUACCUUCAAAGAGUAAUAUUCACUGAACAGUUACCUACUUUUAAAUUUUAUUUUUUUAAAAAUAUAUGUGUAACAUAGCUUCAUGUAUUGUCCUUGGAAUCAUUUAGUAUAGUUAAAAUACAGAAUUACCAGGUCCUUAGAAAAGAAACCUAUUGAAAAAUUUAAAAUAACUAUCAAAAUAAAUAUGAUAAAAAUGACAACAUUGGUUUUCAUCUUAUAUUUUAUCUUGUGUAUAAUAUUGUUGGGGUAAUAUGCACUCUUCCAAAUCAGGUGCUUAUAGAUACAUUAAGAAAUUAUUUUAGCUUGUUAAACCUGGUAUUCAAACUUGAAUACUUCAUAUUUAUAACUGUAACUAUAUUUCUGUUUGUAUUUGUCCAAACUUUUCUACGUGUUCCAAAAAGGCAGAGACUUCUAGAACAUAAAUGCUGUCUUAAGAGUACAGUUCUCUGAGACCCAGAACAGUGAUUAAUCUGUUUCAAAUUAGUAAACCUUGUAAGCCUCCCCAAAAGGAGACAAUGGUGUUUGAGUCAAACAUCAAAAGAUGAAUGGAUUCUAGUUGGCAGGAAAAAAGGGUAAGAGCAUUCCAGGCUGAGGGCAAAGCAUUAGCUGAGGCAAAAGGAGCAAAAGUCUAUUUUGGAUCAGAAAAUGUAUAGAUGAAACUACAAGGUAAGAGAUGGCAUGUAACAAAUGAGACCAGAGUAAAGUUUUGGGACUAGUUUGGAUUUUAUUCUGUGGGCAGCAGGAACAUUUGAACACUAAAAAUAGAAAAAAAAUGACAUUCUCUAAUCUCUUAUCUAGAAAGAUAUGUCAAUAUCAGAAUGAUUUGGAAGUAAUAACCUAUAAAAUGCAGUUGUGCCUUAAUGAAGAAGAGAUAUAUUAAUACAGCCAAUUAUAGAUCAAACUAAAGACAGUGACUGUGGGGUUGAUAAGGGAAGAAUAAAUGGAAGAAAUACUGUAUAGUUUGAAUCUGUAUGACCUGGUAUUUGGAUAUGGAAAGUUUGGAAGACAGUUUUGUAAAAAUUCAUUGUUUUAAUGGAAGAAAUCUUAUUAAAGGGGCAUCCCAAAUGUUUUUUUAAAGAGUUUUUUUCUUUUUUAAAAAAUUUAUUUAUUUGUUGUAAUUUGUUAUACAUGACAGUAGAAUGCAUUUCAAUUCAUAGUAUACA
This 4153-nucleotide long non-coding RNA is filed under the name Marmota monax (woodchuck). Lineage: Eukaryota; Metazoa; Chordata; Mammalia; Rodentia; Sciuridae. The record is from RNAcentral.